This 555-nucleotide ribosomal RNA is filed under the name Alternaria alternata. RNAcentral's name for it is "eukaryotic LSU rRNA". The stretch from base 201 to 354 matches the Rfam family "5.8S ribosomal RNA". The record is from RNAcentral. Lineage: Eukaryota; Fungi; Ascomycota; Dothideomycetes; Pleosporales; Pleosporaceae.
AGGCCUCCGUAGGUGAACCUGCGGAGGGAUCAUUACACAAAUAUGAAGGCGGGCUGGAACCUCUCGGGGUUACAGCCUUGCUGAAUUAUUCACCCUUGUCUUUUGCGUACUUCUUGUUUCCUUGGUGGGUUCGCCCACCACUAGGACAAACAUAAACCUUUUGUAAUUGCAAUCAGCGUCAGUAACAAAUUAAUAAUUACAACUUUCAACAACGGAUCUCUUGGUUCUGGCAUCGAUGAAGAACGCAGCGAAAUGCGAUAAGUAGUGUGAAUUGCAGAAUUCAGUGAAUCAUCGAAUCUUUGAACGCACAUUGCGCCCUUUGGUAUUCCAAAGGGCAUGCCUGUUCGAGCGUCAUUUGUACCCUCAAGCUUUGCUUGGUGUUGGGCGUCUUGUCUCUAGCUUUGCUGGAGACUCGCCUUAAAGUAAUUGGCAGCCGGCCUACUGGUUUCGGAGCGCAGCACAAGUCGCACUCUCUAUCAGCAAAGGUCUAGCAUCCAUUAAGCCUUUUUUUCAACUUUUGACCUCGGAUCAGGUAGGGAUACCCGCUGAACUUAA